GGCUCUAUGGUGUAGAAAACAUGAUAGGUUGUAAACUUAGAGAAGCUUAAGGCUAGGGCCU
This 61-nucleotide transfer RNA is filed under the name Alicella gigantea. Its description in RNAcentral is "tRNA-Tyr". The record is from RNAcentral. Lineage: Eukaryota; Metazoa; Arthropoda; Malacostraca; Amphipoda; Alicellidae.